ACAGUUUACAAUGUAAAAAGGCACAGAGAAAGAAACAAAUAUUAAAUAUAAUGUCAGAGAUGGAUAAUUGCUGUGAACAAAAAUUAAAAUUAGGGUAAAUAAUUAGAGUGUGGUGGAGGGGACCAUUUUAAAUAGCCUCAUUAUGGUAGGGUUCUCUGAGGAGAUGACAUUUGGACAGAAAUCUACAGGAAGAGGGACAGACUGCAAGACUCUCUCCAGGUGACACCAAGUUCAGAUGCUGGCGGAAAAGAAUGGUGGGAACGUUCAAGGCUCAGCAAGAAGGAGCCGGGACUGGGAACAACUGGGAGACUCAUCUCUCCUUGUCCUACUCCCAGUGACACCGUCAGUAACUCACUCAGCAAUAACACAGAACCCUAGGAGUUCAUGACAGUUGCUUUACAGCAUCGUGUCAGUUUCUGCCCUACAACAACACGAAUCAGUCACAGGGGAUCUUCCUGACCUAGAAGAAAGGUUAAACCCACAUCUACUGCAUUGGCGGGUGGAUUCUUUACCACUGAGUCAACAGAAAAGCCCUCUAAAUGGAAUGGAAAUCUAAGGAAGAGGGGAUAUAUGUAAUCAUAUAACUGAUUCACAUUUUUUACAGCAGAAACUAACACAGCACUGUGAAGCAACUAUACUUCCAUAAAAAAGAAAGAAAAGAAAGCAAUGCCCAGCUCAGAGGAGCAGAUGGGGGUGGGACAAAGAUACAGGGGGAAACCAUACACAUGGUCACUUUCUGUCUGUCACAGUAGGAAGACAAGCCUUACCAUCUACAGUUGGUAACAUCUAUGGUGAUGCAGUUAUUUUAUAAAGGUAAGGAGUAAAACAAUGACAGAUAAAAUACAACAAAAAGUUUGGAGGAAAGUGUAAGUAAGCUAAUUCCUCUGCUUUCAUAGUGAGGAGUUAAUAGGUGCUAUCUAAUAAUACAGGAAGCUUGGGGCUGGUGCACUGGGAUGACCCAGAGGGAU
Long non-coding RNA from Bos taurus (domestic cattle), 968 nucleotides. NCBI's taxonomy places the organism in Eukaryota, Metazoa, Chordata, Mammalia, Artiodactyla, Bovidae. The record is from Ensembl.